GCAUGGAUGGCCUGAGAAUGCCUACCACCCUUUCUUCAGAGGUACCAGAAAGCACAAAGAAAUCUGGACGUUGCCGACCAACACCAUCUUCAAUGAAGACAUAGAGGUCAGAUGAAAUCAUGCAAAGGGAUCCAAUCAAACGAUCAUUAAAGGAUCAAUCAAAUGUGAGCACCUCUCCGUCAGGAGAACAGGGCCAAAAGAUAUAUGGACGUUGCCGAUCAACACCAUCUUCAAUCGCAUGAGUUAAAACUGCAGUUGUAGUUAUAGCCACUGAAAAUAGUAGGGGCAGGCGAAGUCGGGCCUGGCCGCGCUCUCGUCGCCGUCCAUGUCAUGCUUGUCCAUCCCCGCCCAAUCUACGCACGCAAGAACCGGCAAAUUAAUCAACCAGCCACGAAACCUGGCGCAGAGCGAUUCGAUCCAAUCGAUGGAUCUCGGGAGGGAGGAAGGGUACCGGCGUGGCCGAGCUCCGAGUCUUAGAUAUAUAGGUAGGGCAGACUCUCGCGUGCGCCGCUCGUCCCUCCUCAGCCUCUGGCCCUCUCCUCCGCUUCUCG
Molecule: long non-coding RNA, 551 nt
Filed under: Triticum aestivum (bread wheat)
Lineage: Eukaryota; Viridiplantae; Streptophyta; Magnoliopsida; Poales; Poaceae
Description: long non-coding RNA (TAES_LNC021372)
Source: RNAcentral